CAAAAAGGAGAAUUCUCCAGGGGAGAAAUUCAGGAAGCAGCUGUUCCGGGGCUAUGGUCUGGCCAGGGUUCCAGCUCAGAGUCCAGACAAGUAAGCGUCGGACCAAAAAAACUCCACUUUGGAGCUAAACUCAACUGAAAUCCUCCUCUGCCGCUCACUGGCUCAAGGAGACAAAUCAGCGAACCUGUGUGAGUUUAAGAAAUCUGUGAAAUGGGAGUUCUAGGAACAUCAAAUAGGGAGGACUAAAUGGGGCAGAUAAAAGUUGCCCUAGUACCUGGCCUUGCAAGAACUGAACAAACGUUCAUUUCCUUUCUAUUUCUCUGGGUCAUAUGGAUCUCCAAAACCUGGUGGGACAAGGCAAAAAUAACUACGGGGAAAAUUGAGGUUCGGGCACUUUAACAAAGGAGUGGAAGGGCCAAAGUCUGAAACCCGGCUCCUCUUGCAAGUGAGUGCUCUUUCCCUGGCGAGAAGCGACAGCCUGAUGAAAAGGAACAUCUGGAAGGGCCAGCUUAAAGUCAGGAGGAGGCACAAUGCUGAGAAGCCCAGAAAGUUCACCAGAUUCCUCUGUGAUCAGGUCAACUUCAUUAAAAUGAACUAUGUUCCCCGAGGAUUUGAUCGCGGAGGUGGUGUUGAUUGCUGUAUCACAGUUCCUAUGGCUACAGGCUCACAGUGAAAAGGGAACAGGUAUACAUCAGCAUCUUCCUGUAAAACUGGGAUCUGACCUCCUUUAUAGUCAAACAUGCAGCAGGCCACCGUGCAAAUAGUACAGCAUGAAUAGAACCAAGAGAGUCCUGAAUGACUUAAGUGGAAAAGAACACUAAAUGAAAUGAUGCAUGUGAAAGGAUGUGUUCUGUCCUUGGUUCAGCUUGUAUCCUGCAUAACUGUUCACCAUUCAUCUUUCAUACCCAGAAGGGAGAUCAUCCAACUGCAAGGGUUGCAAACUGGCAGCCCCCAGGCCAAAUAAAACCCACAAACCUAUCUGGUA
Bubalus bubalis (water buffalo) is the source of this 985-nucleotide long non-coding RNA. RefSeq lists it as uncharacterized. The record is from RefSeq and is a predicted model, not a curated record. Lineage: Eukaryota; Metazoa; Chordata; Mammalia; Artiodactyla; Bovidae. The transcript has 2 exons.